RNAcentral lists this ribosomal RNA (301 nucleotides) under uncultured bacterium. RNAcentral's name for it is "partial 16S ribosomal RNA". It matches the Rfam family "Bacterial small subunit ribosomal RNA", at positions 509 to 807 of the family's 1533-position model. The record is from RNAcentral.
CAGUCGCCGCGGUAAUACGUAGGGUGCGAGCGUUAAUCGGAAUUACUGGGCGUAAAGCGUGCGCAGGCGGUUUUGUAAGACAGGUGUGAAAUCCCCGGGCUUAACCUGGGAACUGCGCUUGUGACUGCACAGCUAGAGUAUGGCAGAGGGGGGUGGAAUUCCACGUGUAGCAGUGAAAUGCGUAGAGAUGUGGAGGAACACCGAUGGCGAAGGCAGCCCCCUGGGCCAAUACUGACGCUCAUGCACGAAAGCGUGGGGAGCGAACAGGAUUAGAUACCCGUGUAGUCCCUGUCUCUUAUAC